GGACAUCUGAGCUGGAAGUGCAAAUACAGAUGACAGAACAAUUUGUUGAUUGGUACAUCAUUCUAGAUUCCAAGAAACCAAAGCAAGAGGCAUGAAGUUCUCACCAAAUUGAGGUACUCUCUGGCAUCCUUCUUGGAAAUCUCAGUGUGGAACAAGCAGACAGACCUUGACUGUCUAAUAAAACUGAAAGGCACUUGCUUCAUUUCGAUCCAUUUUGAUGGAAGUCUCUGUGUGAAAGAUGCAAGCAACGCAGUGCAUUCUGCGAUCACAGCUGUCAGGAAGAGCAACCACAAUCUCUCGUCUAAGAAUCAUCAUCUGUUUUUGUGCUGUUACUGCUUGCCUCCCCUUUUGUUCCAGGUGAGUUGUUAAUUUACUCACAGAGCUCAAAGACCAGCUACGUGCUCAGCUGUUUGUUGGUGGUGGGUUGAUUUUUUUUUUAUUGUUGUUUUU
This 450-nucleotide long non-coding RNA is filed under the name Phasianus colchicus (ring-necked pheasant). Its description in RNAcentral is "lncRNA (ENSPCLG00000008011.1)". The record is from RNAcentral. Lineage: Eukaryota; Metazoa; Chordata; Aves; Galliformes; Phasianidae.